UGGGGAAUAUUGGACAAUGGGGGCAACCCUGAUCCAGCAAUGCCGCGUGUGUGAAGAAGGUCUUCGGAUUGUAAAGCACUUUCGACGGGGACGAUGAUGACGGUACCCGUAGAAGAAGCCCCGGCUAACUUCGUGCCAGCAGCCGCGGUAAUACGAAGGGGGCUAGCGUUGCUCGGAAUGACUGGGCGUAAAGGGCGUGUAGGCGGUUUACACAGUCAGAUGUGAAAUCCCCGGGCUUAACCUGGGAGCUGCAUUUGAUACGUGUAGACUAGAGUGUGAGAGAGGGUUUGUGGAAUUCCCAGUGUAGAGGUGAAAUUCGUAGAU
Molecule: ribosomal RNA, 324 nt
Filed under: uncultured bacterium
Lineage: Bacteria
Description: partial 16S ribosomal RNA
Rfam family: Bacterial small subunit ribosomal RNA
Source: RNAcentral